Molecule: ribosomal RNA, 394 nt
Filed under: Yoldia hyperborea
Lineage: Eukaryota; Metazoa; Mollusca; Bivalvia; Nuculanida sp.; Yoldiidae
Description: SSU rRNA
Rfam family: Eukaryotic small subunit ribosomal RNA
Source: RNAcentral
GUGCCAGCAGCCGCGGUAAUUCCAGCUCCAAUAGCGUAUAUUAAAGUUGUUGCAGUUAAAAAGCUCGUAGUUGGAUCUCGGGUCCAGGCUUGUGGUGCAGCUUAGGCUGCUUACUGCUCGUCCUGACCUACCUACCGGUUUUCCCUUGGUGCUCUUAAGUGAGUGUCUUGGGUGGCCGGAACGUUUACUUUGAAAAAAUUAGAGUGCUCAAAGCAGGCUUUCGCCUGAAUAUUAGUGCAUGGAAUAAUUGAAUAGGACCUCGGUUCUAUUUUGUUGGUUUUCGGAACUCGAGGUAAUGAUUAAGAGGGACAGACGGGGGCAUUCGUAUUACGGUGUUAGAGGUGAAAUUCUUGGAUCGCCGUAAGACGAACUACUGCGAAAGCAUUUGCCAAGA